UGGGGAAUUUUGGACAAUGGGCGAAAGCCUGAUCCAGCAAUGCCGCGUGUGUGAAGAAAGCCUUCGGGUUGUAAAGCACUUUUGUCCGGAAAGAAAUCCUUGGCUCUAAUACAGUCGGGGGAUGACGGUACCGGAAGAAUAAGCACCGGCUAACUACGUGCCAGCAGCCGCGGUAAUACGUAGGGUGCAAGCGUUAAUCGGAAUUACUGGGCGUAAAGCGUGCGCAGGCGGUUUGCUAAGGCCGAUGUGAAAUCCCCGGGCUCAACCUGGGAACUGCAUUGGUGACUGGCAGGCUAGAGUAUGGCAGAGGGGGGUAGAAUUCCACGUGUAGCAGUGAAAUGCGUAGAGAUGUGGAGGAAUACCGAUGGCGAAGGCAGCCCCCUGGGCCAAUACUGACGCUCAUGCACGAAAGCGUGGGGGAGCAAACAGGAUUAGAUACCCUGGUAGUCCACGCCCUAAAACGAUGUCAACUAGUUGUUGGGGGAUUCAUUUUCCUUAGUAACGUAGCUAACGCGUGAAGUUGACCGCCUGGGGAGUACGGUCGCAAGAUUAAAACUCAAAGGAAUUGACGGGGUCAUAGCUGUUUCCU
Molecule: ribosomal RNA, 589 nt
Filed under: uncultured bacterium
Lineage: Bacteria
Description: partial 16S ribosomal RNA
Rfam family: Bacterial small subunit ribosomal RNA
Source: RNAcentral